Molecule: long non-coding RNA, 344 nt
Filed under: Monodelphis domestica (gray short-tailed opossum)
Lineage: Eukaryota; Metazoa; Chordata; Mammalia; Didelphimorphia; Didelphidae
Description: lncRNA (ENSMODG00000042366.1)
Source: RNAcentral
ACUUGCAUUUUGUGAAUUUUGAAUAUUUGUUAUUUUCUUUUACCUAUAUUACCUCACAGAAAAACUUAUUAGUGUCUUGUAUUAGUGACCUGUACUGACUUGAUUUGCAUUUUGUAUUUUUUUUAAUUUUGUAUCUUCUUCAAUGUAUUUUUGGUUUUAUACCUCAUUUGCACUCACACUGUGGACCAUGGCUAAGAUAAGAGAAAAUGCAUCUAAAGGAGAGAUGACUCCUGCUGGCAGCAUGCUAAGCGUUCCAACAUCUUGGUGUGGUGGCUGCUAUUGUCUGGGUUUGGUGAAAUUACUGAAUAAGAUUGCUGGUAACUUUCAAUUGGAAUGAUUGGCUC